This 250-nucleotide unclassified non-coding RNA is filed under the name plant metagenome. Its description in RNAcentral is "partial contains small subunit ribosomal RNA, internal transcribed spacer 1, and 5.8S ribosomal RNA". The record is from RNAcentral.
GUAGGUAAACCUGCAGAAGGAUCAUUAUCGUGGGGCUUCGGCCCUCUCAAGAUAGAACCCUUGCCUUUUUAAGUACCUUUCGUUUCCUCAGCGGGCUCGCCCGCCAAUAGGGACCACAAUAAACCCUUUGUAAUACCUGUAAUCGUCUAACAAAACAAACAAAAAUUAAAACUUUCAACAACAGAUCUCUUGGUUCUAGCAUCGAUGAAGAACGCAGCAUCUGACUGACUUCAGUACGAGGCAUCUCGUA